Molecule: long non-coding RNA, 878 nt
Filed under: Pavo cristatus (Indian peafowl)
Lineage: Eukaryota; Metazoa; Chordata; Aves; Galliformes; Phasianidae
Description: lncRNA (ENSPSTG00000009553.1)
Source: RNAcentral
GGUCCCUGCACUCCGGCGCUGCCGCUCCCGCGCCGCCAACGGCGGGGGAUUUCUGCCUCCCCGGCCCCGGAGGGGGAACGCGACCUGUUCGCCGGCACGCGCGGAGCCGUCCCGGGGCAGGAGAAAAUCCAGGACCCCCAUGGAGAAAGUGCUUAUAAAUCAAAAAGGAAGAGAAGAGGCUUCAUCAGAGGAGCUAUUCACAGUGCUAUAUAUGAACCAACGAAGCAAGAUCCCUUUCCAAGGAGAUUGGCACAGAUUUAUACACCUGGUCACAGGCACCUGGCACCCCUCUGACACUGCUCCCGCCACUGGACAGAAGAGGCAAAGAUGGGGCUGUGAAAAUGAUCUGACGACAUCAGUACGCUUCCCUAGCAACAAAUACUAUAUCCUACCUACUUGUUCAUCAGUACAUUUGGGUAAAAACAGAAAACGUGGAAAGGAGUAUGGCGACACUGAAGUACAGAGAUCUCGAUUGCUGAAUAUCAGUGGUACAGGAUAGAGAUACUUCCUGCUGAACCAUUUGAUGAUAUUCCAAACAAGGAAAAUGCUGUUUGGAUUCCUAGAUUUCAUGCUGGAAACACUGAACCUCCCUACCCUUAAGAUCAGGUAUGUGAAAUGCAAUAAAACAAUGGUUAUACCUGGCUAAAUAAUGAGGCAGUGCCUCUCCGCAUUGGUUUGUUGUAAAUGAGAGUCAGAAUCCUCCUACAGGAACUGAUCCUUCAGGUAAAGGACAGAAACAGUCAAAAGACCCGCUAGGUCUGCAGCGGCUGUGUCUCUUAGUUGUACCCUAAUAAAAGAGAUUUCCAACAGUUUCCAACAAAUAAAGUUCUGCCUAGCCUGUCACUGCCACAGCAAGAGGCCCCAGGGUUGAAAUCAAG